RNAcentral lists this ribosomal RNA (468 nucleotides) under uncultured bacterium. RNAcentral's name for it is "partial 16S ribosomal RNA". It matches the Rfam family "Bacterial small subunit ribosomal RNA", at positions 28 to 507 of the family's 1533-position model. The record is from RNAcentral.
GACGAACGCUGGCGGCGUGCUUAACACAUGCAAGUCGAACGGAAAGGCCCUGCUUUUGUGGGGUGCUCGAGUGGCGAACGGGUGAGUAACACGUGAGUAACCUGCCCUUGACUUUGGGAUAACUUCAGGAAACUGGGGCUAAUACCGGAUAGGAGCUCCUGCUGCAUGGUGGGGGUUGGAAAGUGUCGGCGGUUGGGGAUGGACUCGCGGCUUAUCAGCUUGUUGGUGGGGUAGUGGCUUACCAAGGCUUUGACGGGUAGCCGGCCUGAGAGGGUGACCGGCCACAGUGAGACUGAGAUACGGCCCAGACUCCUACGGGAGGCAGCAGUGGGGAAUAUUGCACAAUGGGCGGAAGCCUGAGGCAGCAACGCCGCGUGCGGGAUGACGGCCUGCGGGUUGUAAACCGCUUUCGCCUGUGACGAAGCGUGAGUGACGGUAAUGGGUAAAGAGGCACCGGCUAACUACGUG